AUGACCUAAAUAUCAUAAUUAUCACAAAACCAUGACACAUAUCAGAAAAGAUCAAAAUAUAACAGAACAAAGUGAAAUCAAAACUACAAAAACAAUUUAUCCCUUCACUAUGUCAUAUCUGAAAUUAACCUAACUAUCAUCACCAAAAAUACAAAUUCAAAUAUCACAAAACUUUCAACCUAAUUUGAAAUAACCGCAUCUACUAACAAAUCUACAUCAAGUUUAAAGAUAAAUCAACAUUUAGAACCUAACCUGAGUCGAUUCAUCACAAAACACAUGCGAAAAUCCUUCGUAAACCUCAGAUUUCGUCCUUCGAACAUCCGUCAACCGCUUCACCUAAAAAGUAAGAAUCACAAAAGAACAUGGUAAGAUAUAUAACACUCAUUGCAACUUAUCAGAACAUCA
This 405-nucleotide long non-coding RNA is filed under the name Helianthus annuus (common sunflower). The record is from RNAcentral. Lineage: Eukaryota; Viridiplantae; Streptophyta; Magnoliopsida; Asterales; Asteraceae.